Molecule: ribosomal RNA, 442 nt
Filed under: uncultured bacterium
Lineage: Bacteria
Description: partial 16S ribosomal RNA
Rfam family: Bacterial small subunit ribosomal RNA
Source: RNAcentral
CCUACGGGGUGCAGCAGUGGGGAAUAUUGGGCAAUGGGCGCAAGCCUGACCCAGCAACGCCGCGUGAAGGAAGAAGGCUUUCGGGUUGUAAACUUCUUUUAGGGGGGAAGAGCAGAAGACGGUACCCCUUGAAUAAGCCACGGCUAACUACGUGCCAGCAGCCGCGGUAAUACGUAGGUGGCAAGCGUUGUCCGGAUUUACUGGGUGUAAAGGGCGUGCAGCCGGAGAGACAAGUCAGAUGUGAAAUCCACGGGCUCAACCCGUGAACUGCAUUUGAAACUGUUUCCCUUGAGUGUCGGAGAGGUAAUCGGAAUUCCUUGUGUAGCGGUGAAAUGCGUAGAUAUAAGGAAGAACACCAGUGGCGAAGGCGGAUUACUGGACGAUAACUGACGGUGAGGCGCGAAAGCGUGGGGAGCAAACAGGAUUAGAUACCCCAGUAGUC